Molecule: ribosomal RNA, 439 nt
Filed under: uncultured bacterium
Lineage: Bacteria
Description: partial 16S ribosomal RNA
Rfam family: Bacterial small subunit ribosomal RNA
Source: RNAcentral
CUACGGGUCGCAGCAGUGGGGAAUAUUGCGCAAUGGGGGAAACCCUGACGCAGCAACGCCGCGUGAAGGAUGAAGGUUUUCGGAUUGUAAACUUCUUUGACCGGGGAAGAUAAUGACGGUACCCGGAAAACAAGCCACGGCUAACUACGUGCCAGCAGCCGCGGUAAUACGUAGGUGGCAAGCGUUGUCCGGAAUUACUGGGUGUAAAGAGCGUGUAGGCGGAUCUUUAAGUCAGAUGUGAAAUCCUAGGGCUUAACCUUAGGGCUGCAUCUGAAACUGGAGAUCUUGAGUGUCGUAGAGGUAAGUGGAAUUCCUAGUGUAGCGGUGAAAUGCGUAGAUAUUAGGAGGAACACCAGUGGCGAAGGCGACUUACUGGGCGACAACUGACGCUGAGACGCGAAAGCGUGGGGAGCAAACAGGAUUAGAUACCCCAGUAGUC